GAUGAACGCUGGCGGCGUGCCUAAUACAUGCAAGUCGAACGGACAGGCCCUGAUCUUGCGGGUCGCUCGUGUGGCGCAGGCGUGAGUAACACGCGUGUAACCCGUCCCUGUCAUUCGGAUAACUCCUGGAGAAUGGGGAUCUUAUAGGAUAGGAGAUCUUGAACCACGGUGGGGGUUGGUAAGUUACGGCGGUUGGGGCUGGACUCGCGGCUUAUCAGCUUGUUGGUGGGGUAGUGGCUUACCAAGGCUUUGACGGGUAGCCGGCCUGAGAGGGUGACCGGCCACAUUGGGACUGAGAUACGGCCCAGACUCCUACGGGAGGCAGCAGUGGGGAAUAUUGCGCAAUGGGCGGAAGCCUGAUGCAGCAACGCCGCGUGCGGGAUGACGGCCUUCGGGUUGUAAACCGCUUUCGCCUGUGACGAAGCGUGAGUGACGGUAAUGGGUAAAGAAGCACCGGCUAACUACGUG
RNAcentral lists this ribosomal RNA (468 nucleotides) under uncultured bacterium. Its description in RNAcentral is "partial 16S ribosomal RNA". It matches the Rfam family "Bacterial small subunit ribosomal RNA", at positions 28 to 507 of the family's 1533-position model. The record is from RNAcentral.